RNAcentral lists this ribosomal RNA (374 nucleotides) under uncultured bacterium. Its description in RNAcentral is "bacterial SSU rRNA". It matches the Rfam family "Bacterial small subunit ribosomal RNA", at positions 28 to 411 of the family's 1533-position model. The record is from RNAcentral.
GACGAACGCUGGCGGCGUGCCUAACACAUGCAAGUCGAACGGGGCAGCAAUGCCCAGUGGCGAACGGGUGCGUAACACGUGAGGAACUUGUCCAUCGGCGGGGGAUAGCCGGCCCAACGGCCGGGUAAUACCGCGUACGUCGGCGAGACCGCAUGGUCUUGCCGGGAAAGCAGCAAUGCACCGAUGGAGAGCCUCGCGGCCUAUCAGCUAGUUGGUGAGGUAAUGGCUCACCAAGGCGACGACGGGUAGCUGGUCUGAGAGGGUGAUCGGCCACACUGGAACUGAGACACGGUCCAGACUCCUACGGGAGGCAGCAGUGGGGAAUUUUGCGCAAUGGACGAAAGUCUGACGCAGCAACGCCGCGUGGGUGAUGA